GGUUGUUGUGGUUCAUACAUGUUCCUCGUUUUAGUUUGUUUUUAUAUGAAGACUAAACGUUGGUUUUUCCUGUUUGAAUUGCUACAUUAGUCACUUGUGUGUCCUUGAUAGCUUGCUGGUCAGUGUAAGACAAAGUUCUGUGUUAAAGGUCUUACUUUAACCUAUAAUUGUUUACUUUUUACAUUUUAAUUAAAGGUAAAGAAGAUU
RNAcentral lists this long non-coding RNA (207 nucleotides) under Mytilus galloprovincialis (Mediterranean mussel). The record is from RNAcentral. Lineage: Eukaryota; Metazoa; Mollusca; Bivalvia; Mytilida; Mytilidae.